This is an RNA transcript of Vitis vinifera (wine grape), 2455 nucleotides long. It is a transcript of the gene named F-box/LRR-repeat protein At1g67190, with no coding region annotated. The transcript is spliced from 3 exons. NCBI's taxonomy places the organism in Eukaryota, Viridiplantae, Streptophyta, Magnoliopsida, Vitales, Vitaceae. The record is from RefSeq and is a predicted model, not a curated record.
UUAAGAGGGUUGCGAGUGAUGGACUGGUGACGUGGGUAUUCUCACGUGCGAACGACUUCCCACACGAGUACUAGACCAGAGGAAGAGACAGUUGACCAUUUCCUCAUAUUUUCCCCUUGCUCCUCCCAUCGGAAUUUUGAUAUUUCCAAUUCUAUCCCAUCUUCCGAUUCCUCCAUACCCAAUUGUGGUGGUUCUAGGCUGAGGGGUCUCUGAUUUCAUGCUCCUAUCCUCCUGGUUGUUGCUUGAAAUCUCUUUUCUGGACCCCGCUGCCAGAUUUCAUUUUUCUUUGCCUUUGCAGACUUGGAACCAUCUGGGUAUGCUUAUGAAUUUGAUUUCUUAAAUCCCAGAUCUCAUAAAGGACCCAAAAUAUUGAUCUGGGUUUUUCUCUGAAUCUUUGAUUAAGUCAUGGUAUCUUGACUUUUUUUGGGAAGAUUUGGUGGUGUGGUGGUUUGUGGCCUGUGAUCAAUUCUUCUUUUUGUCAUCUACACUGAGAAACCCGGAUGGUGGACUUAAUAUCUCGAUGCGAUCUGUAAGUGGGUAUGGAUUAUUUUAUCUCGUCUUUUGCAAGUUCAAAGGCUUUGGUUGAAUCUGGUUGAAGGUAGUUUCUCUCAAUCUUUUUGGUUAUGGAGAAUCUUCCUGUUGAAGUGGUCGGAAACAUACUGUCCCGACUUGGAGCUGCACGAGAUGUGGUGAUCGCAUCUGCAACUUGCCGGAAGUGGCGAGAGGCUUGGCAGAAUCACCUACACACUCUUUCAUUUAAUUCCAAUGAUUGGCCUGUUUACCAUGAUCUCACAACUAGUCGAUUGGAAAUUCUUAUAACUCAAACAAUAUUCCAAACAUCGGGAUUAGAGUAUUUGUCAAUUUGUAUGGAUGAUGUUGAUGAGUUCUCAGCUGCCCCGGUGAUUGCCUGGCUCAUGUAUACUAGGGAAACCUUGCGACAGCUAUACUAUAAUGUGAGGACCACCCCAAGCAUUAACAUACUUGAAAAAUGCAGUAGGCAAAAGCUUGAAGUCUUGGAUUUGGCUCAAAAUUCUAUUACGGGUGUUGAACCCAGUUAUCAGAAAUUUCCCUGCUUGAAAUCCCUUUCACUGAGAUAUGUUAGUAUUUCUGCAUUGGACCUAAAUCUUCUUCUCACUGCCUGCCCAAAAAUUGAGGUCUUGGCCCUUAUCAACCUGGAUAUUGCGCUGUCAGAUGCAACAGCCACAAUGGAGCUGGCCGGUCCCUCAUUGAAGGAUAUCUAUGUCGAAGCAAUCAGUAUGGAUAAGUUUACGUUGGAGGCUGAUAACCUUGAGAAUUUGCACUUGAAAGAUUGUACUCUCGAUGUUUUUGAGCUUAUUGGAAAGGGAGCCUUGAGGAUUCUCAAGAUUGACGAUGUUAGUGUGAUCCAUCUCGACAUUGGUGAGAGUACUGAAAAUCUUGAGGUUGUGGAUGUUAGCAACUUCACAAUCAUGUGGCCAAAGUUUUACCAUAUGAUCUCAAGAUCAUCCAAAUUGAAGAGGCUUCGGCUUUGGGGUGUUGUGUUUGAUGAUGAGGAUGAAGUUGUGGAUUUGGAGGCAAUUUCUGUUUGCUUCCCACGGUUAACCCAUGUAUCCUUAAGUUAUGAUCUGAGAGAUGGAGAUCUAAGAGAUGGUUAUGGCUUGCAGGUGUCAACUCAUUUGGAGAAUGUGGUUGUCUUGGAACUUGGAUGGACAGUAAUGAGCAAUCUCUUUUCACCUUGGGUAGCUGGACUCGUAGACAGAUGCCCCAAUCUUAAGAAAUUGAUCAUUUUUGGGAUUAUUUCAGAGGUCAAAACUCAUGAAGAAUGUUUGAUUUUAGCGAAUUUCACUUCAUCCAUUGUUCGGCUCAUGAGGAAAUAUUUGCAUGUAGAGGUUCAUUUUGAAUAUGAAUAGUUCUGCAAAAUGCUUUUGAGGAUAUACAGGUUUUUGUCAAUCAUGACUUGCACAAGCAGGCAAAGUCUUCUCUUGGACCUGCUUCCAUUUUAGUGUGUGGAAAGGGCAAAAGGCAUUUCACUGGAGGGCAGGGAAUUGGAUGCCCCAGUAGUCCUAGCUGUAAACAAUGGAUUCUAUCACCAGGCACAUUGCCCUGUGCAAUGCUGUAGCUAACAAGUUAAGUAUCCCAUCUGGGAGUAUGCAUGCAACAAUGAAACUUAUAGGAAUUGAGGAGGGAUUGCCAAAGCUGUGAACCUGGCAGAGUGCUUUCCCCGUUGAUGUCCUCUCCAGUCUUUAUGGAUUUCUCUGUUCCACUGGAAAUUUCCUCCACUCCUACUGCACUUCAGAUUGAUCGUAGACUUAAAAAACCAACUAUACACCUUUUAUGUUCAAUCAUUUACCGAUAAUGCUUGCAAGUUGCAUCCUCUGCAUUAGUAUUACAUCUGCUGUGAGCACAGAACUCCUAUUUAGCUUGACCUAGAAUCAUAUGUGACUGUAAUAAUAUUUCUAAGCUGAUUGUUUGAUGA